This 412-nucleotide ribosomal RNA is filed under the name uncultured Opitutia bacterium. RNAcentral's name for it is "bacterial SSU rRNA". It matches the Rfam family "Bacterial small subunit ribosomal RNA", at positions 506 to 916 of the family's 1533-position model. The record is from RNAcentral. Lineage: Bacteria; Pseudomonadati; Verrucomicrobiota; Opitutia.
UGCCAGCCGCUGCGGUAAUACAGAGACUGCAAGCGUUACUCGGAUUCACUGGGCGUAAAGGGAGCGCAGGCGGACUAGUGUGUCAGGCGUGAAAUCCCGGGGCUCAACCCCGGGGCUGCGCCCGAAACUACUAGUCUAGAGACUUGGAGAGGUAAGCGGAAUUCUUGGUGGAGCAGUGAAAUGCGUAGAUAUCAAGAGGAACACCAACGGCGAAGGCAGCUUACUGGACAAGAUCUGACGCUCAGGCUCGAAAGCGUGGGGAGCAAAAGGGAUUAGAUACCCCUGUAGUCCACGCUGUAAACGGUGCGCAUUAGGUCUUGGAGCUUUCGAACGCUCCAGGGCUCAAGCUAACGCAUUAAAUGCGCCGCCUGAGGACUACGGCCGCAAGGCUAAAACUUAAAGGAAUUGGCGG